UACGUAGGGUGCGAGCGUUGUCCGGAAUUAUUGGGCGUAAAGGGCUCGUAGGCGGUUUGUCGCGUCGGGAGUGAAAACCCAGGGCUUAACUCUGGGCUUGCUUUCGAUACGGGCAGACUAGAGGUAUGCAGGGGAGAACGGAAUUCCUGGUGUAGCGGUGAAAUGCGCAGAUAUCAGGAGGAACACCGGUGGCGAAGGCGGGUCUCUGGGCCGAUACUGACGCUGAGGAGCGAAAGCGUGGGGAGCAAACAGG
This 253-nucleotide ribosomal RNA is filed under the name uncultured bacterium. RNAcentral describes it as "partial 16S ribosomal RNA". It matches the Rfam family "Bacterial small subunit ribosomal RNA", at positions 524 to 776 of the family's 1533-position model. The record is from RNAcentral.